UUAUUUUUUAUAAAAAAAUUCAAAUUUAUCUGCUAUUAUCUUGAAUUUACCUGCAAAAUAAGUUAAUUGUACAAAUUUAAUAAAUAUGUAGAAAAAUGUAA
Ipomoea nil (Japanese morning glory) is the source of this 101-nucleotide long non-coding RNA. RefSeq lists it as uncharacterized. The transcript has 3 exons. The record is from RefSeq and is a predicted model, not a curated record. NCBI's taxonomy places the organism in Eukaryota, Viridiplantae, Streptophyta, Magnoliopsida, Solanales, Convolvulaceae.